GCUCCCCAAAAAUUCCACGUGAGCCAGCCUCGGACUGGACUGGAAUUACAUUACUGUGAAACUUGGAAGACAGAAGAGCUUUCUUUUUUUCUCCUCCCUAGUGCUAUAAAUCAAACCAUUUCCAAAUUCUUCAUCAAUCUCCGGCUUUCAGGAAGUUAUAAGGAAAGUGGAACAGAGAGAGGGUAUUGUAACUGACGGAGAAGAAAAUAUCUACUCUUUGCAAUCCUUGUUGGAGCAGCUUGGUGUUCAUUUCACUGCAGGCUGUAUUGAAAAGUGAUUACCUGGGAGGGUUUUAGUUACAUUGGACUUCAACAAAGGCAGCACCAGAUGAUCAAGAAGCAUUUUAAACGCAAGCUCAGGCCUUCUUUAUUUUUUAUGAACUGCUUACUAGCCCCCAUGGCUAAUGCUUUGAGUUGGCUCAUUUGCUUCUGUAGCCAUAGGAUCUUCCAGAGAGGGACCUUUUCCCUCUCACCGGAUUGCAGCACAGACUGCCAGACCCACUGUCUCAUAGACUGCGGGCAGGGACAUUACUACGUAGCUGGCAACUGCUUGGAAUGUCCGACAGGUUUCUAGUAAGUCUCCUUCCUUAUAGAUCCCUGCAGAGAUCCCAAUCCUUUAUAGAUCCGUGCAUCUGUGGCUAAAAGGGCAUUUGUAUGUGUAGUUGGUGAGAGGCAUG
This 676-nucleotide long non-coding RNA is filed under the name Calidris pugnax (ruff). RNAcentral describes it as "lncRNA (ENSCPUG00000019392.1)". Lineage: Eukaryota; Metazoa; Chordata; Aves; Charadriiformes; Scolopacidae. The record is from RNAcentral.